Long non-coding RNA from Peromyscus eremicus (cactus mouse), 1458 nucleotides. RefSeq lists it as uncharacterized. The record is from RefSeq and is a predicted model, not a curated record. The transcript is spliced from 5 exons. Lineage: Eukaryota; Metazoa; Chordata; Mammalia; Rodentia; Cricetidae.
GCCCUAGUGUGCAGCUGCUGAUUUCUGCUGUUCACCGCCCCUGGGGCUCCAGCCAGUCACAAGCUCCUUCAUGGUCUCCGCAAAUGGUGCUCGGUAUGCUGGGUUGCCCAGAGAAGGCAAGUUCAUGGUGACGGAAUGGCACUGCUCUCAGAAUUCUGGCAAAGAGAGGGAUCUCCAGUACUACUGCUCUGCUCAGAAUGGAAGCCUUUCAGUUAGGAAUAGAAUCACUUGAGAAUGGAGUCAUGGAAGGCUCUGGUUUGGAUUCUUAAGUGAACUCAGACAAGCACUCAUCGAAAGUACAGAAGGGAGACCAUGGCAGUGUGGAUGGACUGGAUUUCGGAUGUCCUUGCUGCUGGAAUCACUGCAGUUUCUUAAUAUAUCCUGAGUAGAAAUUAUAUCAUUCAAAGAAACCUAGAGAAUUUUAGAAGCUGAAGAACCUAUUUGUGAGCUAUUGGACCAGCUCACAAAUCUGUGGAGAAGCUCCCAGCUGAGACCAAUGCCCACAGCGUGCUGCGAAGACGUCAUCUCUGGACACCAGUUGCUGCAGUUUGCACUGCUAAGAUCCCGGACAUCGUUCCGCCAGCUGCUGUGAUUGCUACUGCCAGUACCACCCAUCUCCAAGAUCCGUCUGAUGAAUGGGGAUUGCUGGAGUGCGUGAGUCCACCCACAGCUGAGGAGUUCAGGACUUGACGCUGUCUGCUUAGCAAUGAGAGGUGGCCUAGCACAUCAUGUCCUUCCAGCCUUGGAAAGAGGCUGAGAUACUAGGAAACCAGAAGGAAUGGAAUGACAGAGUUUCACUGUGAAGCCCUGGCUGCCUCAGGAAAACAAACAAACAAACAAACAAACAAACAAACAAACAAACAAACCAGACUGGCCUCAUACUUGGGACAAUUCUCCUACUUUUCUGCCUCCCAAAUCCAGGGAUUACAGAAACAGCUUCAACCAGAGGGCUCCUGCACAGAUAAAGAAGAAGGCUACUUUCUUCUUCUUCUAGCAGAGGCUACGAAGGAACUGAAUGCAUGGACUCCAACCAGUUGGCUGGACAUAUGUUGCACAUUGGACUGGCCAUUUGGCUGGAUCAGAUUAAAGUGGAGAAACUGCAUAUUUUUUUGGGCACCGAACACAAAUCUGGACCUGCUUAUUACUUUUGUCCUCUCUUUUUAAAGUGAUGGAUUUGUAAGUGCCAAAAAUUCAGCACCAACUUGCGUUUAAAAGGGGAAAAAAAGAAAGCCUAUAAAGAAAUGUGACAGAGGAAAAAGACAAAGGAUUGAGGAUGGAGACUCCAAAGCUGGCUUCGGAGGGGUGGGCUGUAUUAAAUGGUAACACUCAUGCUGACAGUGUUAUACAUUAGGAAUGCCAAAUCUACGGGUUCUGGCUCAUUUAUGGACAAGGUGGCUCAAUUGAUUAAGGGUUUCAUUUGGGAUGUUAUCAGGUAUUAUUAAACCAUUUGGCACACUG